This 355-nucleotide transfer-messenger RNA is filed under the name Oscillospiraceae bacterium. It matches the Rfam family "transfer-messenger RNA". From Rfam's summary of the family: Bacterial tmRNA, also known as 10Sa RNA or SsrA, is named for its dual tRNA and mRNA-like properties. Its role is to liberate the mRNA from a stalled ribosome. Lineage: Bacteria; Bacillati; Bacillota; Clostridia; Eubacteriales; Oscillospiraceae. The record is from RNAcentral.
GGGGGCGUAAAGGUUUCGACGGGGACUGUGCAGUAUGGUAAGCGAGUCGAGACGCAUGAUCUCGUUAAAAUGUGCACCUUAAAAUUAAACGCAGAAGAUAACUACAGCAAUUUUGCGCUUGCUGCUUAGUUAAGCAGCCGUCCGAACCGGGGGGACCGCGACCCGGCAAGGGCGUCACUUUAGCGGUGAACGUUCCAUGGGAGUUCCACGGCCCGCGGAAUGUAUUAGGGAUACCGAACCCGUGAGCCCGCCGGCCGGCGCACGGGCAAGGGAAUUUUAAAAGGCACGGCUGCACUCGGAGAAAGCUGUAUGAAUUGGUUUUCGGACGCGGGUUCGAUUCCCGCCGCCUCCACCA